Molecule: long non-coding RNA, 100 nt
Organism: Haliotis rufescens (red abalone)
Lineage: Eukaryota; Metazoa; Mollusca; Gastropoda; Lepetellida; Haliotidae
Exons: 3
Source: RefSeq, a predicted model, not a curated record
CAGGUAACAUGGACACUGGUAACACAGCAGUCAGUCAGGUAGGUAACAUGGACACUGGUAACACAGCAGUCAGUCAGUCAGUCAGGCAGGUAACAUGGAC